RNAcentral lists this unclassified non-coding RNA (1469 nucleotides) under Schizosaccharomyces pombe (fission yeast). RNAcentral describes it as "intergenic RNA (predicted)". The record is from RNAcentral. Lineage: Eukaryota; Fungi; Ascomycota; Schizosaccharomycetes; Schizosaccharomycetales; Schizosaccharomycetaceae.
GCGUUUUGUUUGAAGAAGGAAACAAUUCAUGUAUACUCGGAUUUAUUGCUGUUUUGUUUAUACUCAACGCAACGCCCAUGCUUAGAAGGUUGACAAGGAAAAUUAAUCAAACGGUUCUUGAGGGCUUGGUGAUUGAUUUGAAAGUUUGAAGGAAAUGAUUCAUAGGCCUUAAGUAUAGUUUGCUAUUCCAAAACCUGUAUACUGUCUACUAGAAAGAACGAGUAGUCUGUUUAGCUUUUCAGUUUGUCUGGAUAGUUGUUUUCGAUGGAUUUCGAAUUCCUGUACUGCUUCGUGUAACCGUACUCUUCAACUUUUCAGCAUUGCGAAAUUAUUCUUUUUAGCUUUUUUUAGAGUUUUGAUCAUUAGGAAUAUUCAUAAGAGAGGCUCUUCAUGGAAUCGUUGACGCGUUGCGGAAAACAUAGAUCAUUCCUACCGCUUUUAUUAUGGCUGCAGACUUCAUACUUCUGUAUACAGUAGGAAAAAAGAGGCCUGGACAUCAAUUGAAUCGCUGGGUGCAGUGUACGUGAGUCUUCUGCCUUUAAAAUUCAUUUACAGUUUAAUCCUACCUUUCAUUUGUAUAAAAUCUGUAUCCAUCAUUUAAGUGCUUGUCAGAUCACAACGAAUUUUUGGUAGAAGAGUCUCGUUUGAAUUACUGAACGUUACUAAAAAUCAAGCAAUGAAGAAAGUUUUAUAGAUAGUUUCAAUUCCCCAUACAAAUAUUAAAUUGUAUUGGUAACAAUUUUUGCUUGUGCAAAUUUGUUGGCUGAAUGCUCUCGUCUAUACUAGCUUCUUUUGGCAUUUGUUACGGAGAUAAAAAGUAUGGAACUUAAAAGAGCUAUUAUAAAAAAAAUGACUUGAAGGUUUUCCUUCUACAUUUAAUUUUGGUUUUUUGGUCGAUUCUUUGUCCGUGCUAAAUGUACAACUUCGUGUUGAAGGUACUAUUUGGAAGGAAACAAAAACCGACUUGUGGUCACAAUGUACAUUCAAACGAAUAGCAACUCUGGUCUGUAUUCAAUUUCCUUGAACUUGGAUUCUUUGCGGCAAACAAUAAUGAACGUCCUGUUUCUCAAAAAAAUAAUGCUUAGGGUAAGAUACUAUUUUACAUUACGUGAGAUCCAUGGAUCAAAGCUUUUGCUUGUUCGCUAGUAAAAUAGUUGACUACCCAUUCAUUAAUAUUUUGAGUGUAGCUCGUCCGUUGUUCCUCUUGAGCGCGUUUUAGGUUUUUUUCACUUGGUCUGAGCAAAAUGUUAAAAGGAACGGGCCCAUUUUUUGGUAUGUUUUAAUGAUUAAAUUUAAAAUUACUAACUAUUCAAUUCCCAAAUUAUCAGAAUUGCGUAUUUAGUAAGAACGCGGUUGCUCAUCUUUUUAUUAAAACAUGCUGAAUUCCGUUUCCGGUUUCAAAAUUUUGAGAAAGUGAUGAAUCUUAUUAUAAUGUAAAAUAAAUUUAAUGUAUUUAUUUGCGUACUAGA